Molecule: long non-coding RNA, 293 nt
Organism: Notothenia coriiceps (black rockcod)
Lineage: Eukaryota; Metazoa; Chordata; Actinopteri; Perciformes; Nototheniidae
Exons: 3
Source: RefSeq, a predicted model, not a curated record
UGAAAUUACAGAUUGCUUCUUUAUGGUGAGAUGGAUAGAUUUGAUGACACAACUGUGUCACUCUUAAAAGGUUUUGGACGAGAUGGGCCGAAUUCUAGAGGCAGGCAACAAGAACUUCACUGACCAGAUCAGCCAGAUGGGAAAGCUUUUGCAAAAAUGCGCUGUUCUUUGGAGUGUGGAACAAGUCGUUGAAGCCACCAAUGGGUCUGGAUAAAUCUGGACCAGCCAUAGCUUUGAUGAAGGCACUUCCCUCAAUGUUUCCUUCCCCAACUGCCCCACCCAAUCUUGGGUCA